Molecule: ribosomal RNA, 419 nt
Filed under: uncultured bacterium
Lineage: Bacteria
Description: bacterial SSU rRNA
Rfam family: Bacterial small subunit ribosomal RNA
Source: RNAcentral
UGGGGAAUAUUGCACAAUGGGGGAAACCCGUAGCAUGCAGCAACGCCGCGUGAAGGAAGACGGUUUUCGGAUUGUAAACUUCUUUUCUUAGUGAAGAAACAAAUGACGGUAGCUAAGGAAUAAGCAUCGGCUAACUACGUGCCAGCAGCCGCGGUAAUACGUAGGAUGCGAGCGUUAUCCGGAUUUACUGGGUGUAAAGGGAGCGCAGGCGGGACUGCAAGUUGGAUGUGAAAUACCGCAGCUUAACUGCGGAGCUGCAUCAAAACUGUAGUUCUUGAGUGGAGUAGAGGCAAGCGGAAUUCCGAGUGUAGCGGUGAAAUGCGUAGAUAUUCGGAGGAACACCAGUGGCGAAGGCGGCUUGCUGGGCUCUAACUGACGCUGAGGCUCGAAAGUGUGGGGAGCAAACAGGAUUAGAUACC